Drosophila melanogaster (fruit fly) is the source of this 1096-nucleotide non-coding RNA. Lineage: Eukaryota; Metazoa; Arthropoda; Insecta; Diptera; Drosophilidae. The record is from Ensembl.
UAUGGCACGCGCCGCGAAUGGAAUGGUAAUUCAAGCCCCUAGCCAAAUGUGCUGCGUCCGAUGGUUUUGCGACAUUAAUGGAGCAUCUCGCAUUUGGUGGCAAAGUCCAAGGUUGAGCAGCAGAACAGUGGCCGCAGCGGGCCCAGCUGGCCAGGCCCUCGUCUGCUCUUUCACCCAGAGUCAGCGAUUUGACCGGCGUCGCAGGUCGCAUUUUGGAUACUCCAGCGCUUGGAGCUUGUUGCAUUGCCGACCGAUUUGCCAGCAAUUAAGCUGUGAGGAAUGCGCCGACGAAUGGGUUAAGUCACGGCGAUCCGUGGCAGAAGACACCCGAGUGAAGUCAGCUGCUUGCGGUCAUACGAUCCGACCCAUCUCGAUUUUUACGGGGUAGCCGGUAAUGCACAUCUGGUGCCUCCCAAAAACUGCGACUUCAGCAAUUAGUGGCUUUGUUUUCAGUGAUUCGUGUGAUUUGUGUGAUUUGAGUGAUUUGUGUGCUUUGCGGCGACUAUUUGCACGACGGACGGAUGGAUAGACGGGCGGAUGGAUGGACGGCUGGAUGGACGGACGGCCAAGCCAGCGUUCGUUUAACCCAUCCAUCCAAGCAACCGACUAUAGACAUACGGCUACGACUACGACUACGACUACGGCAGCCACCCAAAGAACGUGCCAGUGGAUUCCAGUGACUACAUUCUGUCGGGUCUUGGAAUCGCCACAGUUGGCGCAGUGCUGGCAAUAAAAUUGAAAGAAUUUACAUUCGGUCACAUUUUCAUUUCAAUCUCCGUCUCAAUGGCCGCUACUUCGGAGUGAAUGUGGAUUUGGAUUCGCAAUCAGAUUCGGAUGCGGAUCCAGGGCAAAGACUGAGCGUAGCCUGAUACAUAUGUCGCUAUCCUUGCUUGAGUAAAAUACCGUGUUAAUUGAUUCAUUGCAUAUAUAAUAAUAUUGUAAAAUCCUUGAUCGUUUUGCAAGAAUGAUGACUGAUUUAAAAAUUUUUAACCCUAAGAUCUAUGGUAUUGUAUUAAUGCCUACGGUGAUUUUGAAUUAUUAUAAAGUUAUGCCCUGAAGACAAAAAGCCGAUGAAAUCAUAAAUAUCCUAAUUACU